UCUCCGUUGGUGAACCAGCGGUGGGAUCAUUACAGGAUCGAAAGACUCCUAUAACCCCUGUGAACUUACUACAAAUACGUUGCUUCGGCGGGUGCCCCGGGUCUCCCGGGGCGUUCAGCCCGCCGGCAGCCUUCAAAUUCUGUUUCUUUGCGUUGGCAUCUCGAGUAUACAAAAAUAAGUUAAAACUUUCAACAACGGAUCUCUUGGUUCUG
RNAcentral lists this unclassified non-coding RNA (212 nucleotides) under plant metagenome. Its description in RNAcentral is "partial contains small subunit ribosomal RNA, internal transcribed spacer 1, and 5.8S ribosomal RNA". The record is from RNAcentral.